This 399-nucleotide ribosomal RNA is filed under the name uncultured cyanobacterium. RNAcentral's name for it is "bacterial SSU rRNA". It matches the Rfam family "Bacterial small subunit ribosomal RNA", at positions 370 to 783 of the family's 1533-position model. The record is from RNAcentral. Lineage: Bacteria; Bacillati; Cyanobacteriota.
AAUGGGCGAAAGCCUGACGGAGCAAUACCGCGUGAGGGAGGAAGGCUCUUGGGUUGUAAACCUCUUUUCUCAGGGAAGAAAAAAAUGACGGUACCUGAGGAAUAAGCAUCGGCUAACUCCGUGCCAGCAGCCGCGGUAAUACGGAGGAUGCAAGCGUUAUCCGGAAUGAUUGGGCGUAAAGGGUCCGCAGGUGGCUAUGUAAGUCUGCUGUUAAAGAAUGAGGCUUAACCUCAUCAGAGCGGUGGAAACUACACAGCUAGAGUGCGUUCGGGGUAGAGGGAAUUCCUGGUGUAGCGGUGAAAUGCGUAGAUAUCAGGAAGAACACCAGUGGCGAAAGCGCUCUACUAGGCCGCAACUGACACUGAGGGACGAAAGCUAGGGGAGCGAAAGGGAUUAGAU